This 250-nucleotide ribosomal RNA is filed under the name uncultured bacterium. RNAcentral describes it as "partial 16S ribosomal RNA". It matches the Rfam family "Bacterial small subunit ribosomal RNA", at positions 559 to 793 of the family's 1533-position model. The record is from RNAcentral.
ACGUAAAGCGCAUGCAGGCGGCCUGUUAAGUCAGAUGUAGAAAGGCCCGGGGACCUUAACCGUACGGUAAGUUGCUAUUUAGUAAACGUGGCGAGGCUAGAGUCUUGUAGAGGGGGGUAGGAAUUUCAGGUGUAGCGGUGAAAUGCGUAGAGAUCUGAAGGAAUACCAGUGGCGAAGGCGGCCCCCUGGACAAAGACUGACGCUCAGAUGCGAAAGCGUGGGGAGCAAACAGGAUUAGAUACCCUGGUAG